Molecule: ribosomal RNA, 492 nt
Filed under: uncultured bacterium
Lineage: Bacteria
Description: partial 16S ribosomal RNA
Rfam family: Bacterial small subunit ribosomal RNA
Source: RNAcentral
AGUGAACGCUGGCGGUAGGCCUAACACAUGCAAGUCGAACGGCAGCACAGUAAGAGCUUGCUCUUACGGGUGGCGGGUGGCGGACGGGUGAGGAGUACAUCGGAAUCUUCUUUUUCGUGGGGGGUAUCGGAGGGAAACUUACGCUAAUACAGCAUACGACCUACGGGUUAUAGCAGGGGUACAUCGUACUUUGCGUGUUAGAAUUAGCUGUUGUCGGAUUAGCUAGUUGGCGGGGUAAUGGCCCACCAAGGCGAGGAUCCGUAGCUGGUCUGAGAGGAUGAUCAGCCACACUGGAACUGAGACACGGUCCAGACUCCUACGGGAGGCAGCAGUGGGGAAUCUUGGACAAUGGGCGCAAGCCUGAUCCAGCCAUACCGCGUGGGUGAAGAAGGCCUUCGGGUUGUAAAGCCCUUUUGUUGGGAAAGAAAAGCAGCAGGUUAAUACCCCGCUGUUUUGACGGUACCCAAAGAAGAAGCACCGGCUAACUUCGUG